AUUGAACGCUGGCGGCAGGCCUAACACAUGCAAGUCGAGCGGCUGAAGGGAGCUUGCUCCUGGAUUCAGCGGCGGACGGGUGAGUAAUGCCUAGGAAUCUGCCUGUUUGUUUGUGAUUACGUCCUGAAACGGGCGCUAAUACCGCAUACGUCCUGACGGCGAACGUGGGGGAUCUUCGGACCUCACGCUCUCAGAUGAUCCUAUGUCGGAUUAUCUGGUUGGUGGGGUAAAGGCCUACCAAGGCGACGAUCCGUAACUGGUCUGAGAGGAUGAUCAGUCAAACUGGAAAUGAGAAAAGGGCCAGACUCCUAAGGGAGGCAGCAGUGGGGAAUAUUGGACAAAGGGGGAAAGGCUGAACCAAGCAAGACGCGGGUGUGAAGAAGGUCUUCGGAUUGGAAAGCACUUUAAGUUGGGAGGAAGGGGAGUAAGUUAAAAACUUGCUGGUUUGAAGGUAACAAAAGAAUAAGCAACGGCUAAAUUCGUG
Molecule: ribosomal RNA, 484 nt
Filed under: uncultured bacterium
Lineage: Bacteria
Description: partial 16S ribosomal RNA
Rfam family: Bacterial small subunit ribosomal RNA
Source: RNAcentral